Molecule: transfer RNA, 68 nt
Filed under: Bolma rugosa
Lineage: Eukaryota; Metazoa; Mollusca; Gastropoda; Trochida; Turbinidae
Description: tRNA-Ser
Source: RNAcentral
AGAAAGAACUGGACAUAAAAUAGGGCUGCUAACUUUGUUUUGGGUGGUUCGAUUCCAUCCUUUUUCUU